UGCGCAGGCGGCCCCGCAAGUCAGGCGUGAAAUCCCCGGGCUUAACCUGGGAAUGGCGCUUGAAACUACGGGGCUGGAGUAUGGCAGAGGGAGGUGGAAUUCCACGUGUAGCGGUGAAAUGCGUAGAGAUGUGGAGGAACACCGAUGGCGAAGGCAGCCUCCUGGGCCAAUACUGACGCUCAUGCAAAGACUGGGGAGCGAAACA
This 205-nucleotide ribosomal RNA is filed under the name uncultured bacterium. Its description in RNAcentral is "partial 16S ribosomal RNA". It matches the Rfam family "Bacterial small subunit ribosomal RNA", at positions 568 to 775 of the family's 1533-position model. The record is from RNAcentral.